AUUGAACGCUGGCGGCAGGCCUAACUCAUGCAAGUCGAGCGGAUGAAGAGAGCUUGCUCUCUGAUUCAGCGGCGGACGGGUGAGUAAUGCCUAGGAAUCUGCCUGGUAGUGGGGGACAACGUUUCGAAAGGAACGCUAAUACCGCAUACGUCCUACGGGAGAAAGUGGGGGAUCUUCGGACCUCACGCUAUCAGAUGAGCCUAGGUACGAUUAGCUAGUUGGUGAGGUAAAGGCUCACCAAGGCGACGAUCGUUAACUGGUCUGAGAGGAUGAUCAGUCACACUGGAACUGAGACACGGUCCAGACUCCUACGGGAGGCAGCAGUGGGGAAUAUUGGACAAUGGGCGAAAGCCUGAUCCAGCCAUGCCGCGUGUGUGAAGAAGGUCUUCGGAUUGUAAAGCACUUUAAGUUGGGAGGAAGGGCAGUAAGUUAAUACCUUGCUGUUUUGACGUUACCGACAGAAUAAGCACCGGCUAACUUCGUGCCAGCCGCCGCAGUAA
RNAcentral lists this ribosomal RNA (500 nucleotides) under uncultured bacterium. Its description in RNAcentral is "partial 16S ribosomal RNA". It matches the Rfam family "Bacterial small subunit ribosomal RNA", at positions 30 to 523 of the family's 1533-position model. The record is from RNAcentral.